RNAcentral lists this ribosomal RNA (540 nucleotides) under Triticum aestivum (bread wheat). RNAcentral describes it as "partial small subunit ribosomal RNA". The record is from RNAcentral. Lineage: Eukaryota; Viridiplantae; Streptophyta; Magnoliopsida; Poales; Poaceae.
AUGAUCCUGAUCAUGCUAAUUGCAACUACUGUGAUGCUAUAUUGGGUUGCAAAUCCGCAUCGGCAGGAUCCCAACUACAAGACUGAGUUAGAAAAAACUAGUCCAGAACCUAAGCUUGAUACUCCUGAUCAGCGGGGUCCUCCAACUCAAAGCGAUUGGGUGUAUGUUCGUGAGUUCAAACAAUUCCUCCAACACUUCUAUCUCCUCACUAAUAAGGUUUCUGGCACUAAGUACAUUACAACCAACACCUUCUUGGAAGAUAUUGCGGAUGUACAUUUUAUGUUGGGUGAAUGGAGUGAUCAUGUGAUUUGUGGUGAUGAUGAAAUAUUUAAAUGCAUGGCUACUAAGAUGAAAACCAAGUAUGAGAAGUACUGGGGUGAUCCUGAAAAGAUGAACAAGUAUAUAUUCAUUGCUGCCAUCCUUGAUCCAAGGACCAAGGAAUCUCAUUUCUUUAAAGACAUGAUUGAAGACACCUAUGACAGUAUAAUAGAAUUUCUUCAAGUAGGUAACCAGGUUGUAGUUGUAUUGGACAAGUACUAA